RNAcentral lists this ribosomal RNA (301 nucleotides) under uncultured bacterium. Its description in RNAcentral is "partial 16S ribosomal RNA". It matches the Rfam family "Bacterial small subunit ribosomal RNA", at positions 509 to 807 of the family's 1533-position model. The record is from RNAcentral.
CAGUAGCCGCGGUAAUACAGAGGUCUCAAGCGUUGUUCGGAUUCAUUGGGCGUAAAGGGUGCGUAGGCGGUCGGGUAAGUCGGAUGUGAAAUCCUGGGGCUCAACCUCAGAACUGCAUUCGAUACUGCUUGGCUAGAGGACUGGAGAGGAGACUGGAAUUCACGGUGUAGCAGUGAAAUGCGUAGAUAUCGUGAGGAAGACCAGCGGCGAAGGCGGGUCUCUGGACAGUUCCUGACGCUGAUGCACGAAGGCCAGGGGAGCAAACGGGAUUAGAUACCCCUGUAGUCCCUGUCUCUUAUAC